Molecule: ribosomal RNA, 468 nt
Filed under: uncultured bacterium
Lineage: Bacteria
Description: partial 16S ribosomal RNA
Rfam family: Bacterial small subunit ribosomal RNA
Source: RNAcentral
GAUGAACGCUGGCGGCGUGCUUAACACAUGCAAGUCGAACGGUGAAGGCGGAGCUUGCUCUGCUGGAUCAGUGGCGAACGGGUGAGUAACACGUGAGCAAUCUGCCCCUGACUCUGGGAUAAGCGCUGGAAACGGCGUCUAAUACUGGAUACGAGCUGCGAAGGCAUCUUCAGCAGCUGGAAAGAACUUCGGUCAGGGAUGAGCUCGCGGCCUAUCAGCUUGUUGGUGAGGUAACGGCUCACCAAGGCGUCGACGGGUAGCCGGCCUGAGAGGGUGACCGGCCACACUGGGACUGAGACACGGCCCAGACUCCUACGGGAGGCAGCAGUGGGGAAUAUUGCACAAUGGGCGAAAGCCUGAUGCAGCAACGCCGCGUGAGGGACGACGGCCUUCGGGUUGUAAACCUCUUUCAGUAGGGAAGAAGCGAAAGUGACGGUACCUGCAGAAGAAGCACCGGCUAACUACGUG